AAGAGAAUGUAGAAUACUGGGGGAAGCCGCUAACUAUCCCUAAAGCGGUUAAAAUCCGUUUUUCUCUUA
Molecule: transfer RNA, 69 nt
Filed under: unidentified
Description: Capodemus sinuatus tRNA-Ser
Source: RNAcentral